This 69-nucleotide transfer RNA is filed under the name Scinax quinquefasciatus (Fowler's snouted treefrog). RNAcentral describes it as "tRNA-Val". The record is from RNAcentral. Lineage: Eukaryota; Metazoa; Chordata; Amphibia; Anura; Hylidae.
CAAAACGUAGCUUAACCAAAGCACCUCGCUUACACCGAGUCCAUACCUGUUAAACCCGGGUCGUUUUGA